GGUUUCUUAGGUAAUAAUAAGAAACCAAAUUUCACUAACAUCCGGUUUCUUAGAUUUUAACUAUUAUUUAAUUUUAAAAAUAUAGAAACCUAGACUAUUCUUAUAUUCUCAUAGAAGAUAGAAUAGUAGAACCGCCGCCCUCCUAUGCCUUUUAAAAUUAACUGCACCCUUCAUUCAUUUGUAAAAAAAAUUAAAAAUAAAACUUCUCCGUUAUUCUCACAAAGGCAAAAACCCAAUCAAUUCCUCAUUUCGUCAUUAUUCCUUCACCUUCUCUACUAAUUAUAGAUCUCCAUACUAUGUUUCAUCUCUAAUGAUCUUUCUUUUUAGUUAAAUAUAUAAGCACAUGAUCCUCUUGUUGCAUAAUUCGUCUUCUCGUCAAUUUUCGGUCUGGUGGCGGCGGCACCAUAAAAGUAGAGGAGCGAGAUUGUCAGAUUGAUGCAGCGAAAUGGGCAGUAAAGAGAAGAAAUCCGGUAGUGGUGAGACUAUUAUGGGUAAAUAAAAGCAAGCAGUUGAAUGGAUAUUAAUCGAAGAAGACAUAGUACGGCAAAAAAAUGAAAAAACGAGGAAAAGAGCAUAUUUUUGUGAGUUGUGACGACAAAAACAAGAACAAAGAAAAAAGAUAUUUGUGUGUAUUGUAAAGAAUUUAACUUCUGUAAAAUAUAUGUAUUGUACAUCUGUAUUCUAUGUUAGUUCUUCGAUACUUUUUUUUUUUUUUAAUUUUUUUACAGUUUUAGGGAUUAGAUAGAUUUGUAUUUAAUUAUACAAUAUAAAGUUAUCAAUUUUGGAA
Long non-coding RNA from Chenopodium quinoa (quinoa), 787 nucleotides. RefSeq lists it as uncharacterized. The transcript has 2 exons. The record is from RefSeq and is a predicted model, not a curated record. NCBI's taxonomy places the organism in Eukaryota, Viridiplantae, Streptophyta, Magnoliopsida, Caryophyllales, Amaranthaceae.